UACGGAGGAUCCGAGCGUUGUCCGGAUUUAUUGGGUUUAAAGGGAGCGUAGGUGGAUUGUUAAGUCAGUUGUGAAAGUUUGCGGCUCAACCGUAAAAUUGCAGUUGAAACUGGCAGUCUUGAGUACAGUAGAGGUGGGCGGAAUUCGUGGUGUAGUGGUGAAAUGCUUAGAUAUCACGAAGAACUCCGAUUGCGAAGGCAGCUCACUGGACUGCAACUGACACUGAGGCUCGAAAGUGUGGGUAUCAAACAGG
Molecule: ribosomal RNA, 253 nt
Filed under: uncultured bacterium
Lineage: Bacteria
Description: partial 16S ribosomal RNA
Rfam family: Bacterial small subunit ribosomal RNA
Source: RNAcentral